UGGAAGGCCAAAUUUCAAAUUGCAAACAUAAAUUGAUUUCAUCUCUUCAUUUAAAAAUUUUAAACCAAACUAAUAAUUAAUGAUACUUAAGCUAUCUUUAAAAUUGAAAAUUUUGAAGUUCCAACCUCAAUGGAUGCUAAAUAAAAAAAGAAAAAUUCAAUAAGAAAAACUAUAAUAUGUAUACCAUCAAUUACUUAAUCCUUCUGACAUUGCAAUAACUUCACCUCCCAGAGUUCCUAGCUAUGUAUUAAUAUGAGCUCCAUCUUCUUCUCAAUUGAAGUUCUCAUUUUCUGCUUUGCCCAUACAUGCAUGUAGAAUAAACUGCUAUGCAUUCCCUGAAGGGAAAUAGCAUCAUCACUUGCUCAUGAGCAAAGCUGAUUACUAGAAGAUGGAGAAUACAUAUAUGGCAAUUAGCUAAUUAAUAUAUAAAUCAAAGUACAUUAGUAAACAAAUUAAGGGACUAACAAUAUAAGACUUCAUGGGUGCUGUUUUGGGAGGAAGCUGGAGGGAACUAAAUCUUGUAAAAGGCCAUAAUCAGGAAGCUGCUGCUGUGGAGCAUAUAGAUGUGGAUAGAACAUGGCAGUAGGGUCACCUUGGUGGUGGUUAUUAUACGGUGGAAGCAAGCGAACGAAGAUGUCCUGAGGAAAGGUUGGUCGAUGGGCCAUCAUUGAAGAUGUAGAUGGCAGAAGCGAAUUAGGUGACAAAAUUCCUGCGGCAGUAUUAGCUCGAAGAGUUGCAGGGCAUUGAUGGUUAUGUUUCCCUUCGUACGUAGUGAUCACAAUUGAUGGGUCUUCGAAUGAUCUCUCUACUCGUUUCUUCACUGUGCACUUCUGACUGGUGCAUCUGUAAUAGCUUCUGCGAUAUAUAAUGGCAGCCCUUAUGAAAUAUUUAUGAUUCUAAUCAUUGAUUUUUUGCUUUGCUUUUCUUGGGAAUAACCCGAAUAAUUAAAUUGUUCUGCUCAAAAUUAAUGAACAUCAAUGUGUGCUCUUGAAAUGCAUCAAGUACUAACAAUAUUAAUGUCAUCGGCAUAAUAAUUAAAAUUUCUCACCAAGAUAUAUAUCAUAAAAUUCAGAUGCCACAUCACAGUAUAAAAUAUAUAAAAUAAAUACAUAAAUAUAUGCAAUACUUGUCAGGGAAUUUAGUAGAAUGUAACCUUGGAUAAGGACUAUUCUUGACUGCCUUCUGGCCGUACUUUCUCCAUCUGUAACCAUCUUCAAGGUGAUCAAUCUCACUCUUGGUCAAGAAGGAAAACCUUGGCUCUCUUUCUCGUUUCUCUUUCUUCUUUGUCUUGCUCACUUUGUUAUUAGACUUUUGCUUGCCAUCCUGGGAUUCUUUUUGGUGGUGGUGGUGGUGUUGCUGCUGCUGCUUUUCUUUGGUCUUGGCUGAGCCUUGUUGGGUUGCUGUAUCAUUAGAUGAAGAAGAUAUUGAUGAAUCUGGGGUAGAUGGGUUUUCAUUAUUGGUGGGUGCUGAUGAUUUUCCCGAUGGUGCACCUGAACAGUGUUGGAUGGGACUGCUAAUAACCUCAGAAGAAGAGCAAGGCAUAUCAAAGGCUGUGGAUAAGGUGUUAUAGUCCAUGGAUAAGCACUCAGUGAAGCUCAUGUAAGAGGGACCAGAGCGUUGUAAGGUUUGCAUCAGUGUUGGUUGAUUAUUGUACAUCGUAGAUGGGUGGUUAUCGUUCAAGAAUGGGAACUCUGACCCCCGGAUAAUCCCUCUCUGCUCAUUAUAGUAAAAAGGAUCAUUUUGGGAUGGAUUUUCCUUUUCAAUAUUUGACA
RNAcentral lists this unclassified non-coding RNA (1772 nucleotides) under Hevea brasiliensis (rubber tree). Lineage: Eukaryota; Viridiplantae; Streptophyta; Magnoliopsida; Malpighiales; Euphorbiaceae. The record is from RNAcentral.